RNAcentral lists this ribosomal RNA (481 nucleotides) under uncultured bacterium. RNAcentral describes it as "partial 16S ribosomal RNA". It matches the Rfam family "Bacterial small subunit ribosomal RNA", at positions 28 to 507 of the family's 1533-position model. The record is from RNAcentral.
GAUGAACGCUGGCGGCGUGCUUAACACAUGCAAGUCGAACGAAGCACUUUAUUUGAUUUCCUUCGGGACUGAUUAUUUUGUGACUGAGUGGCGGACGGGUGAGUAACGCGUGGGUAACCUGCCUUGUACAGGGGGAUAACAGUUGGAAACGGCUGCGAAUACCGCAUAAGCGCACAGCAUCGCAUGAUGCAGUGUGAAAAACUCCGGUGGUAUAAGAUGGACCCGCGUUGGAUUAGCUAGUUGGUGAGGUAACGGCCCACCAAGGCGACGAUCCAUAGCCGAGCUGAGAGGGUGACCGGCCACAUUGGGACUGAGACACGGCCCAAAAUCCUACGGGAGGCAGCAGUGGGGAAUAUUGCACAAUGGGCGAAAGCCUGAUGCAGCGACGACGCGUGAGCGAAGAAGUAUUUCGGUAUGUAAAGCUCUAUCAGCAGGGAAGAUAAUGACGGUACCUGAAUAAGAAGAACCGGCUAAAUACGUG